CAGACAGCAAAGAUUGUCAUCAUUCUACAUUAACAGUCCACUGUUGCGUUUCUGAAUCUCACACUCAAAGUCAGUCGAAAGUUGGAUAACUGACUGUAUACAUGGAUGACUGUCAUACGUGGACUCCAUCCACAGGAUGAUGGGUGACUCAGGACCAAGAUUUAGCACAUUUGUGAGGCUGUGACUCUGCUACAGGUACACAGUCCAUGGGGAAUUGAGGCUCUCAGGCACAAAUCUAUCCACAGUUAAUAUCGUCACUGUGUACUCAGAAAAAAAAUACAGGGGAUGUUGACUCUCUUACUUAGAACUAGGACAUG
This 317-nucleotide long non-coding RNA is filed under the name Homo sapiens (human). RNAcentral describes it as "HSALNT0123636". Lineage: Eukaryota; Metazoa; Chordata; Mammalia; Primates; Hominidae. The record is from RNAcentral.